Molecule: long non-coding RNA, 311 nt
Organism: Sinocyclocheilus grahami
Lineage: Eukaryota; Metazoa; Chordata; Actinopteri; Cypriniformes; Cyprinidae
Exons: 3
Source: RefSeq, a predicted model, not a curated record
UCACAUGUGUCUGUGAAGAGUGACGAGUCAAAGGGUGAAGCACCAAACUUCAGUGAAGAAACAUCACGAACCAAAUGGCUUCAGUAUGAAACAUUAGAUCCAGAUUUACAGACUCACAGGAACCACAAGCAUUUUACAGACAGUCUCCUGCAGAUCUUCCAGGAUCUUGAGAGCAAAAUAAUCACAUUUCUGAAGAAAGAACUGGAAAAGUUUAAGAAAAUAUUACAAAAAGAGGACACACAAUACUUUGUGAAGGACUUUAAUGAGAACAGAUGCCGUAACAAAGAAGCAGCUCUUGAUCUCACGCUCUG